GAAACAGCUCUUUUAAGAGCUACCCAAAUCUUUCAAAAAGAUGUUU
Molecule: non-coding RNA, 46 nt
Filed under: Mytilus galloprovincialis (Mediterranean mussel)
Lineage: Eukaryota; Metazoa; Mollusca; Bivalvia; Mytilida; Mytilidae
Rfam family: Histone 3' UTR stem-loop
About the family: The mRNAs of metazoan histone genes lack a poly-A tail. 3' end processing occurs at a site between a highly conserved stem-loop (modelled by this family) and a purine rich region around 20 nts downstream (the histone downstream element, or HDE). The stem-loop is bound by a 31 kDa stem-loop binding protein (SLBP - also termed the histone hairpin binding protein, or HBP).
Source: RNAcentral